GGUUAUGGCUCAGUGGUAGCGCACUUGCCUGGCAUGCAUGAGGCACUGGGUUCAAGUCUCAGCACCA
RNAcentral lists this transfer RNA (67 nucleotides) under Marmota monax (woodchuck). Its description in RNAcentral is "tRNA.Ala". It matches the Rfam family "tRNA". From Rfam's summary of the family: Transfer RNA (tRNA) molecules are approximately 80 nucleotides in length. Their secondary structure includes four short double-helical elements and three loops (D, anti-codon, and T loops). Further hydrogen bonds mediate the characteristic L-shaped molecular structure. tRNAs have two regions of fundamental functional importance: the anti-codon, which is responsible for specific mRNA codon recognition, and the 3' end, to which the tRNAs corresponding amino acid is attached (by aminoacyl-tRNA synthetases). tRNAs cope with the degeneracy of the genetic code in two manners: having more than one tRNA (with a specific anti-codon) for a particular amino acid; and 'wobble' base-pairing, i.e. permitting non-standard base-pairing at the 3rd anti-codon position. Lineage: Eukaryota; Metazoa; Chordata; Mammalia; Rodentia; Sciuridae. The record is from RNAcentral.